RNAcentral lists this ribosomal RNA (351 nucleotides) under Staphylococcus aureus. RNAcentral's name for it is "bacterial SSU rRNA". It matches the Rfam family "Bacterial small subunit ribosomal RNA", at positions 92 to 437 of the family's 1533-position model. Lineage: Bacteria; Bacillati; Bacillota; Bacilli; Caryophanales; Staphylococcaceae. The record is from RNAcentral.
UUAGCGGCGGACGGGUGAGUAACACGUGGAUAACCUACCUAUAAGACUGGGAUAACUUCGGGAAACCGGAGCUAAUACCGGAUAAUAUUUUGAACCGCAUGGUUCAAAAGUGAAAGACGGUCUUGCUGUCACUUAUAGAUGGAUCCGCGCUGCAUUAGCUAGUUGGUAAGGUAACGGCUUACCAAGGCAACGAUGCAUAGCCGACCUGAGAGGGUGAUCGGCCACACUGGAACUGAGACACGGUCCAGACUCCUACGGGAGGCAGCAGUAGGGAAUCUUCCGCAAUGGGCGAAAGCCUGACGGAGCAACGCCGCGUGAGUGAUGAAGGUCUUCGGAUCGUAAAACUCUGUU